This 359-nucleotide unclassified non-coding RNA is filed under the name Hevea brasiliensis (rubber tree). The record is from RNAcentral. Lineage: Eukaryota; Viridiplantae; Streptophyta; Magnoliopsida; Malpighiales; Euphorbiaceae.
UUCCCAUACAUAUCAAUCAACGCAUUGCAGAUGGAAACAUCUGAACCAAACCCAAUUUUUAUCACAAAUCCAUGAACCAUCCUCCCUUUAUCAAAAUCCCCGGUCACAGCAAAAACUGACAAAACCCCAGUAGCUGUAAACCCGCUUAUUGUAACCCCCUCUUUCCUCAUUUUCCUAAAAAUUCCCAAUGCUUCAUUGAACUUACCAGUCUGCGCACACCCAUUAACCAUGGAAUUCCACAACACAACAUCCCUUUCAGGCAUUCUAUCAAACAGCUCAUGCGCCUCAUCCAUUAACUCAAACUUCAAAUAGGCACUGAUCAAAGCACUACCCACAAACACGUCCAACUCCAACCCAAG